RNAcentral lists this non-coding RNA (30 nucleotides) under Homo sapiens (human). The record is from RNAcentral. Lineage: Eukaryota; Metazoa; Chordata; Mammalia; Primates; Hominidae.
UCCACAGUAAGGCCAGCAGGGAUGAGGAGA